GACGAACGCUGGCGGCGUGCUUAACACAUGCAAGUCGAACGGAAAGGCCCUGCUUUUGUGUGGUUCUCGAUUGGCGAACGGGUGAGUAACACAUGAGUAACCUGCCCUUGACUUUGGGAUAACUUCAGGAAACUGGGGCUAAUACCCGAUAUGAUCUCCUGCUGCAUGGUGGUGGUUGGAAAGUUUCGGCGGUUGGGGAUGGACUCGAGGCUUAUCAGCUUGUUUGUGGGGUAGUUGCUUACCAAGGCUUUGACGGGUAGCCUGCCUGAGAGGGUGAACGGGCACAAUGGGACUGCGAUACGGACCAGACUCGUACGGGAGGCAGCAGUGGGGAAUAUUGCACAAUGGGCGGAAGCCUGAUGCAGCAACGCCGCGUGCGGGAUGACGGCCUUCGGGUUGUAAACCGAUUUCGCCUGUGACGAAGCGUGAGUGACGGUAAUGGGUAAAGAAGCACCGGCUAACUACGUG
RNAcentral lists this ribosomal RNA (468 nucleotides) under uncultured bacterium. Its description in RNAcentral is "partial 16S ribosomal RNA". It matches the Rfam family "Bacterial small subunit ribosomal RNA", at positions 28 to 507 of the family's 1533-position model. The record is from RNAcentral.